AUUGAACGCUGGCGGCAGGCCUAACACAUGCAAGUCGAGCGGUAGAGAGAAGCUUGCUUCUCUUGAGAGCGGCGGACGGGUGAGUAAUGCCUAGGAAUCUGCCUGGUAGUGGGGGAUAACGUUCGGAAACGGACGCUAAUACCGCAUACGUCCUACGGGAGAAAGCAGGGGACCUUCGGGCCUUGCGCUAUCAGAUGAGCCUAGGUCGGAUUAGCUAGUUGGUGGGGUAAUGGCUCACCAAGGCGACGAUCCGUAACUGGUCUGAGAGGAUGGACAGGCACACUGGAACUGAGACACGGUCCAGACUCCUACGGGAGGGAGCAGUGGGGAAUAUUGGACAAUGGGCGAAAGCCUGAUCCAGCCAUGCCGCGUGUGUGAAGAAGGUCUUCGGAUUGUAAAGCACUUUAAGUUGGGAGGAAGGGCAGUAAAUUAAUACUUUGCUGUUUUGACGUUACCGACAGAAUAAGCACCGGCUAACUCUGUGCCAGCCGCCGCGGUAA
RNAcentral lists this ribosomal RNA (500 nucleotides) under uncultured bacterium. Its description in RNAcentral is "partial 16S ribosomal RNA". It matches the Rfam family "Bacterial small subunit ribosomal RNA", at positions 30 to 523 of the family's 1533-position model. The record is from RNAcentral.